RNAcentral lists this ribosomal RNA (562 nucleotides) under Streptomyces sp. YIM 56028. Its description in RNAcentral is "bacterial SSU rRNA". It matches the Rfam family "Bacterial small subunit ribosomal RNA", at positions 45 to 622 of the family's 1533-position model. The record is from RNAcentral. Lineage: Bacteria; Bacillati; Actinomycetota; Actinomycetes; Kitasatosporales; Streptomycetaceae.
UGCUUAACACAUGCAAGUCGAACGAUGAACCGCUUUCGGGCGGGGAUUAGUGGCGAACGGGUGAGUAACACGUGGGCAAUCUGCCCUGCACUCUGGGACAAGCCCUGGAAACGGGGUCUAAUACCGGAUAUGACUGUCCAUCGCAUGGUGGAUGGUGUAAAGCUCCGGCGGUGCAGGAUGAGCCCGCGGCCUAUCAGCUUGUUGGUGAGGUAGUGGCUCACCAAGGCGACGACGGGUAGCCGGCCUGAGAGGGCGACCGGCCACACUGGGACUGAGACACGGCCCAGACUCCUACGGGAGGCAGCAGUGGGGAAUAUUGCACAAUGGGCGAAAGCCUGAUGCAGCGACGCCGCGUGAGGGAUGACGGCCUUCGGGUUGUAAACCUCUUUCAGCAGGGAAGAAGCGAAAGUGACGGUACCUGCAGAAGAAGCGCCGGCUAACUACGUGCCAGCAGCCGCGGUAAUACGUAGGGCGCAAGCGUUGUCCGGAAUUAUUGGGCGUAAAGAGCUCGUAGGCGGCUUGUCACGUCGGUUGUGAAAGCCCGGGGCUUAACCCCGGGUCU